CCUCUCUUCCAGGACAAGCUGUUGAAUAAGCUGGACGAACACGAGCCGGAGCUGGCCAUGACACAAGAGGAGGAGUGUGUGAUCUGCGUCAAUGCCAAGGCUACUAUGCAAACCUUCCCCUGUGGUCACCGGGUCGUGCAGGAAAGUGCUUCUGUCAAGACCAUACAGGUG
Homarus americanus (American lobster) is the source of this 171-nucleotide long non-coding RNA. RefSeq lists it as uncharacterized. Lineage: Eukaryota; Metazoa; Arthropoda; Malacostraca; Decapoda; Nephropidae. The record is from RefSeq and is a predicted model, not a curated record. The transcript is spliced from 3 exons.